This 354-nucleotide ribosomal RNA is filed under the name uncultured bacterium. RNAcentral describes it as "bacterial SSU rRNA". It matches the Rfam family "Bacterial small subunit ribosomal RNA", at positions 29 to 409 of the family's 1533-position model. The record is from RNAcentral.
AACGAACGCUGGCGGCAUGCCUAACACAUGCAAGUCGAACGAGACCUUCGGGUCUAGUGGCGCACGGGUGCGUAACGCGUGGGAAUCUGCCCUUGGGUCCGGAAUAACUCAGAGAAAUUUGAGCUAAUACCGGAUGAUGACGUAAGUCCAAAGAUUUAUCGCCCAGGGAUGAGCCCGCGUAGGAUUAGCUAGUUGGUGAGGUAAAGGCUCACCAAGGCGACGAUCCUUAGCNGGUCUGAGAGGAUGAUCAGCCACACUGGGACUGAGACACGGCCCAGACUCCUACGGGAGGCAGCAGGUGGGGAAUAUUGGACAAUGGGCGAAAGCCUGAUCCAGCAAUGCCGCGUGAGUGAU